This 404-nucleotide ribosomal RNA is filed under the name Graphis betulina. Its description in RNAcentral is "SSU rRNA". It matches the Rfam family "Bacterial small subunit ribosomal RNA", at positions 359 to 760 of the family's 1533-position model. Lineage: Eukaryota; Fungi; Ascomycota; Lecanoromycetes; Ostropales; Graphidaceae. The record is from RNAcentral.
UAUUGGUCAAUAGCCUAACCGGCUGAACCAGCAACUUGGAGGAAUGGAUAGGGAAAGCCGGUAAAAGGCAAUGUACCUAGUAGUAUUAGAAAUAAAUAUGAGAUUAACGAAGUUAAUUAAAAUUCGAAGUAGAUAAAUGAUUAUGACAAUAUCUGCUGAUGUCUUGACCAAGUCACGUGCCAGCAGUCGCGGUAAUACGGAAGAUAAGCGUUAUUCAUCUUUAAUAGGUUUAAAGGGUACCUAGACGGUUAAUUAAGCAAGAGAUUGUACUAAUUCUAAACUAGAGUUUAAUAUAGGAAGGGUCAGUACGAUGCGGAGUAGAGAUAAAAUUCUUUGAUACUCAUGGGGACUGGUAAAGGCGAAGGCAACCUUUUAUGUAAAAACUGACGUUGAAGGACGAAGGA